This 949-nucleotide small RNA is filed under the name Oryza sativa Japonica Group (Japanese rice). RNAcentral's name for it is "sRNA Os03g0569850". Lineage: Eukaryota; Viridiplantae; Streptophyta; Magnoliopsida; Poales; Poaceae. The record is from RNAcentral.
AAGUGCUUCCUUAGAGCUCCCCUAGAGCACAACUCGCUCAGCAACUCUUGAGCCUCCUUUGCUAAUCCCUCGCUAGCUAAACCCUUAAUAAGCAUAGUGUAGGUAGAUUCAUUGGGCAUGCAUCCAUUUGACACCAUAUAAGCAAAGAAAUCGAUAGCACGAUCAGUUUCCCAUCUUUUACAAAGCGAAGAAAUAACAGCAUUGUAGAGCACUGCAUCAGACCUUAUUGUGGUAUCUUUAAUGUUGUCAAACAUCUGAAUAACCUUGUUAACUCUGCCUUCUCUAGAUAGAGCACAAGCUAUUGAUGAAUAAAUUAUUGUAUUUGGGCUGAUCCCUUUAUUGACCAUCACAUUUAGUAGCUCGAGUGCUUCCUCCGUCUUGCCAGCUUUGCCAAGUCCAUCAAUCACCGUACUAUAACUAAUCAAGUCAGGACUGCAUCCAUUCACUAGCAUCUGCUUAAGAAGUUCAAUGGCCUGCUCAACCAACCCUUUUUUGCACAAGAAAUUGAUUAGUUAUAACUGACAGUAUUUGGCUUGCAUCCACAUGAUGACAUGCUUUUAAGCAACAUGACAGCUUCAUCGAUAAGCCCUUCUUUGCAAAAUCCAUUGAUUACAGUUGUGUAUGUGAUGACAUCCGGCAUGCAUCCAUGGCUCAACAUUUGCUCAAGAAGUUCAAUCACCCUGUCGACCAACCCAUUUUGGCAAAAGAAAUCAACAAGAAUAUUGAAUGUCACAUCAUCAAGGGGGCAGUCCUUCUGAAACAUCUCAGACAGUAAUUCCUCAGCUUCCUUCCACCGCUCAGCACUGCACAGGCCUUUCAACACGGUGUUGUAGCAAACAACAUUAGGCUUGAGACCAUACGAAGGCAUCCUAUUCAAAAUCUCAUUCGCAACCUCCAGAUGCCCUUCCUUGCAGAUCCCAUCGAUGAUAGUCGCGUACAUUCUGAUGUC